UGCGGGAUAGAGCAGUCAGGUAGCUCGUCGGCUGCAUAAGCCGGAGGUCGUCGGUUCGAAUCCGGCUCCCGCUA
This 74-nucleotide transfer RNA is filed under the name Thermoleophilaceae bacterium. RNAcentral's name for it is "tRNA-Met". It matches the Rfam family "tRNA". Rfam says of the family: Transfer RNA (tRNA) molecules are approximately 80 nucleotides in length. Their secondary structure includes four short double-helical elements and three loops (D, anti-codon, and T loops). Lineage: Bacteria; Bacillati; Actinomycetota; Thermoleophilia; Thermoleophilales; Thermoleophilaceae. The record is from RNAcentral.